This 1342-nucleotide ribosomal RNA is filed under the name uncultured bacterium. RNAcentral describes it as "partial 16S ribosomal RNA". It matches the Rfam family "Bacterial small subunit ribosomal RNA", at positions 28 to 1381 of the family's 1533-position model. The record is from RNAcentral.
GACGAACGCUGGCGGCGUGCUUAACACAUGCAAGUCGAACGGUAAGGCUCCAGCUUGCUGGGGUACACGAGUGGCGAACGGGUGAGUAACACGUGGGUGACCUGCCCUGCACUUCGGGAUAAGCCUGGGAAACUGGGUCUAAUACCGGAUAGNGACCGCACCGUGAGGGUGUGGUGGAAAGUUUUUUCGGUGUGGGAUGGGCCCGCGGCCUAUCAGCUUGUUGGUGGGGUAAUGGCCUACCAAGGCGGCGACGGGUGGCCGGCCUGAGAGGGUGGACGGCCACAUUGGGACUGAGACACGGCCCAGACUCCUACGGGAGGCAGCAGUGGGGAAUAUUGCACAAUGGGCGGAAGCCUGAUGCAGCGACGCCGCGUGGGGGAUGACGGCCUUCGGGUUGUAAACUCCUUUCACCAUCGACGAAGGGUUUCUGACGGUAGAUGGAGAAGAAGCACCGGCUAACUACGUGCCAGCAGCCGCGGUAAUACGUAGGGUGCGAGCGUUGUCCGGAAUUACUGGGCGUAAAGAGCUCGUAGGUGGUUUGUCGCGUCGUCUGUGAAAUUCCGGGGCUUAACUCCGGGCGUGCAGGCGAUACGGGCAUAACUUGAGUACUGUAGGGGAGACUGGAAUUCCUGGUGUAGCGGUGAAAUGCGCAGAUAUCAGGAGGAACACCGGUGGCGAAGGCGGGUCUCUGGGCAGUAACUGACGCUGAGGAGCGAAAGCAUGGGGAGCGAACAGGAUUAGAUACCCUGGUAGUCCAUGCCGUAAACGGUGGGCGCUAGGUGUGGGUUUCCUUCCACGGGAUCCGUGCCGUAGCUAACGCAUUAAGCGCCCCGCCUGGGGAGUACGGCCGCAAGGCUAAAACUCAAAGGAAUUGACGGGGGCCCGCACAAGCGGCGGAGCAUGUGGAUUAAUUCGAUGCAACGCGAAGAACCUUACCUGGGCUUGACAUAUACAGGAUCGCGCCAGAGAUGGUGUUUCCCUUGUGGCUUGUAUACAGGUGGUGCAUGGUUGUCGUCAGCUCGUGUCGUGAGAUGUUGGGUUAAGUCCCGCAACGAGCGCAACCCUUGUCUUAUGUUGCCAGCACGUUGUGGUGGGGACUCGUAAGAAACUGCCGGGGUUAACUCGGAGGAAGGUGGGGAUGACGUCAAAUCAUCAUGCCCCUUAUGUCCAGGGCUUCACACAUGCUACAAUGGUCGGUACAGUGGGUUGCCAGUCCGUGAGGGCGAGCUAAUCCCGCAAAGCCGGUCUCAGUUCGGAUCGGGGUCUGCAACUCGACCCCGUGAAGUCGGAGUCGCUAGUAAUCGCAGAUCAGCAACGCUGCGGUGAAUACGAUCCCGGGCCU